This 292-nucleotide ribosomal RNA is filed under the name uncultured Planctomycetota bacterium. Its description in RNAcentral is "uncultured planctomycete partial 16S ribosomal RNA". Lineage: Bacteria; Pseudomonadati; Planctomycetota. The record is from RNAcentral.
GGACUACAAGGGUAUCUAAUCCCGUUUGCUCCCCUGGCUUUCGCGCCUCAGCGUCAGUGGAGGGCCAGCGGACCGCUUUCGCCACCGGCGUUCCUUCCGAUAUCAACGCAUUUCACCGCUCCACCGGAAGUUCCGUCCGCCCCUACCUCCCUCGAGCUCCACAGUAUCAGAGGCACUUUUCCGGUUGGGCCGAAAGAUUUCACCCCUGACUUUUGGAGCCGCCUACGCGCCCUUUAAGCCCAGUGAUUCCGAACAACGUUCGCACGGUUCGUCUUACCGCGGCUGCUGGCAC